Non-coding RNA from Chelonoidis abingdonii (Abingdon island giant tortoise), 915 nucleotides. NCBI's taxonomy places the organism in Eukaryota, Metazoa, Chordata, Testudines, Testudinidae. The record is from RefSeq and is a predicted model, not a curated record.
CAAAGGAGCCAUGUGUGCAAUUUUGCUGCCGUUUGCUGCUAGUGCUCAUUGAAAUUCUUGACAACUGCCAAGAGUGCUGACUCAUCAUUCAGGGAUCCUGUAGCCUCCCUGCUAGAAACUGGACAUAGCAAGGCUGGUCACACAUUCAGCAAGAGAUAAUGGCUUCCAGUAACUUGUGGGGGGGGGGGGGUAGGAGAAGGAACUAUCUUAAAGAAUAUUAAAUUCAUGCAAACAGCGACAAUGGAACAAAGGCCAAAGUAACUGAGACUGAAACAGCUAUUGAUAUACAUAAAGAACAACGGCUGCUGCAGCUUGUUGUGAAUACACCCAAUGCUGUGCGCUGUUGACAGCUGAAGAUGAGCAGCUUAGGCUGAAGGAGAAAUCCUCUGGACUUACAAAGUGCAGAGAUGCUGCCUAACCAAUGUCUUCAGACGCCAGUCAGUGUUAAAAGCCUGAAGAUGACGUACUGCCAUGUCUCCUCAGUCUCAUCAGAUUGUGAUCUAAUCAGGACAUAAAUGCCAUAGAGCUGACUAGCGCUGGAGUAAAACUGUCUCAUUAGUAUCCCAGUCUCUACUUUCAAAAAUGCUCAAAACCCAGUGGUUAAAGCAACAGUUAUAGAGCAAACUGCAGUCAAAAUCUACAGAGAAAAAGACUACCUCUGUCUCACAGCCGUGGUGAGGCACAUUUUUCAGGUCUGAGAACACCCCAGAGAACUUUGAACACAUCUACCAACUUCAAAGCAAGAAACCCAGAGACUUGCAACACAUCUUGCUUUCAUGGCCUAAACAGUAUAAUCAGUGACUUUAUCCAGGAGUGCACGAUAAUGUUCCUGUUCGCUGGGGAAUAGAGCAUAACGAUUUUUACACAGCGACACCAUCAUGUUUUAAUACUCCACAAAUAUCAGCCUAGGUCUUC